AACGAACGCUGGCGGCAGGCUUAACACAUGCAAGUCGAACGCAUCCUUCGGGGUGAGUGGCAGACGGGUGAGUAACGCGUGGGAACGUGCCCUUCAGUUCGGGAUAACCCAGGGAAACUUGGGCUAAUACCGGAUACGUGCGAGAGCAGAAAGAUUUAUCGCUGAAGGAUCGGCCCGCGUCUGAUUAGCUAGUUGGUGAGGUAAUGGCUCACCAAGGCGACGAUCAGUAGCUGGUCUGAGAGGAUGAUCAGCCACACUGGGACUGAGACACGGCCCAGACUCCUACGGGAGGCAGCAGUGGGGAAUAUUGGACAAUGGGCGCAAGCCUGAUCCAGCCAUGCCGCGUGAGUGAUGAAGGCCUUAGGGUUGUAAAGCUCUUUCAGUGGGGACGAUAAUGACGGUACCCGCAGAAGAAGCCCCGGCUAACUUCGUGCCAGCAGCCGCGGUAAUACGAAGGGGGCUAGCGUUGUUCGGAAUCACUGGGCGUAAAGGGCGCGUAGGCGGCUUUAUAAGUCGGGGGUGAAAGCCUGUGGCUCAACCACAGAAUUGCCUUCGAUACUGUAUGGCUUGAGACCGGAAGAGGUUAGUGGAACUGCGA
Molecule: ribosomal RNA, 598 nt
Filed under: uncultured soil bacterium
Lineage: Bacteria
Description: bacterial SSU rRNA
Rfam family: Bacterial small subunit ribosomal RNA
Source: RNAcentral